GACGAACGCUGGCGGCGUGCUUAACACAUGCAAGUCGAGCGAGGCCCUUCUUCGGGAGGUGCCCUAGCGGCGAACGGGUGAGUAACACGUGGGCAACCUGCCCUCAGCUCUGGGAUAACUCCAAGAAAUUGGUGCUAAUACCGGAUGUGACCGCUGACCGCAUGGUCUGGUGGUGGAAAGAUUCAUCGGCUGAGGAUGGGCCCGCGGCCUAUCAGCUUGUUGGUGGGGAAUGGCCCACCAAGGCGACGACGGGUAGCCGGCCUGAGAGGGUGACCGGCCACACUGGGACUGAGACACGGCCCAGACUCCUACGGGAGGCAGCAGUGGGGAAUAUUGCGCAAUGGGCGAAAGCCUGACGCAGCGACGCCGCGUGAGGGAUGACGGCCU
This 387-nucleotide ribosomal RNA is filed under the name uncultured bacterium. RNAcentral describes it as "bacterial SSU rRNA". It matches the Rfam family "Bacterial small subunit ribosomal RNA", at positions 28 to 417 of the family's 1533-position model. The record is from RNAcentral.